Molecule: non-coding RNA, 72 nt
Organism: Ameiurus melas (black bullhead)
Lineage: Eukaryota; Metazoa; Chordata; Actinopteri; Siluriformes; Ictaluridae
Source: the annotation of a GenBank genome assembly
GCAUGGUGGUAUAGCGGUUAGCGCAUUUGCCUUGUGCCUCCUGGGUCGGAGGUUCGAUUCCUCCCCACUGUG